Molecule: long non-coding RNA, 152 nt
Organism: Mytilus trossulus (common blue mussel)
Lineage: Eukaryota; Metazoa; Mollusca; Bivalvia; Mytilida; Mytilidae
Exons: 3
Source: RefSeq, a predicted model, not a curated record
UAAAGCAGAGUUGUGGGUUUCCAGAGACCAAAAGGAAACAAAAAAUGCAGCACAAUUUGCAAACUGAAGACAAUAUAAGAUCAUGCAUGGUGUUCCAACUAAGUACACAACAGAGUUAAUCCAGCAAGACAAACAGUGGAGGAAAUAUUCCA